GAUGAACGCUGGCGGCGUGCUUAACACAUGCAAGUCGAACGGAAAGGCCCGGCUCUUGUGGGUUGCUCGAUUGGCGAACGGGGGAGUAACACGUGAGUAACCUGCCCUUGUCUGUGUGAUAACUUCAGGAAACUCGGGCUAAAACCGGAUAGGAUCUACUGCUGCGUGGGGGGGGUUGGAAAGUCUCGGCUGUUGGGGAUGUACUCGCGGCUUAUGCGCUAGUUGGUCGGGUAGGUGCUUACCAAGGCUUUGACGGGUAGCCGGCCUGAGAGCGUGGACAGCCACCAUGGGCCUGCGGGACGGAGCAGAAUGCUACGGGAGGCAGCAGUGGGGAACAUUGCACAAUGGGCGGACGUCUGAUGCAGCAACGCCGCGUGCGUGAUGACCGCCUUCGGGUUGUAAACAGCUUUCGCCUGUGACGAAGCGGGAGUGACGGUAACGGGUAAAGAAGCACCGGCUAACUACGUG
This 468-nucleotide ribosomal RNA is filed under the name uncultured bacterium. RNAcentral's name for it is "partial 16S ribosomal RNA". It matches the Rfam family "Bacterial small subunit ribosomal RNA", at positions 28 to 507 of the family's 1533-position model. The record is from RNAcentral.